GCUAAGGUAGCAUAAUCAUUUGUUAUUUAAUUGGUAACUGGAAUGAAAGGUUAAACUAGUUUAUUAAGUUUGUGAGACUAAAUAGGAGUUUAAAGUUAAGGUAAGAAUUCUUUAAUUUUUUAGGGGACGAUAAGACCCUAGAAGCUUAACGAGCGGUUGUUUUGUUUUAUAAAUUUGUUCGUUUUACUGGGGCGGUAAAAAUAAUUAAGCUAUUUGUUAUUUAAGGGAUCCUUAAAAUAAAGAAAAAAUGGAGAAGUUACUCUAGGGAUAA
RNAcentral lists this ribosomal RNA (271 nucleotides) under Gammarus sp. t TM-2021. RNAcentral describes it as "partial 16S ribosomal RNA". The record is from RNAcentral. Lineage: Eukaryota; Metazoa; Arthropoda; Malacostraca; Amphipoda; Gammaridae.